UUUAACUGAGCGUUCAGUUACUUGACGUAGACCCGAAACCGGGCGACCUACCCAUGAGCAGGAUGAAGCGAAAGUAAAAUUUCGUGGAGGUCCGAACCCACGAGCGUUGAAAAGCUCGGGGAUGACUUGUGGGUAGCGGUGAAAUUCCAAUCGAGCCCGGAGAUAGCUGGUUCUCCCCGAAAUAGCUUUAGGGCUAGCCUCAAGGUGAGAGAUACGGAGGUAGAGCACUGAAUGUCCUAGGGGGUAUUGCACCUACCGAAGACUAUCAAACUCCGAAUGCCGUCAUCUUAUACUUGGGAGUCAGACUGUGGGUGAUAAGAUUCAUAGUCGAAAGGGCAACAGCCCAGAUCGUCAGCUAAGGUCCCUAAAUGUAAGUUAAGUGGUAAAGGAUGUGGGAUUGCACAGACAACCAGGAUGUUGGCUUAGAAGCAGCCACUCAUUCAAAGAGUGCGUAAUAGCUCACUGGUCGAGUGAUCCUGCGCCGAAGAUUUCCGGGGCUAAAACUUACUACCGAAGCUACGGCAUCAGUAAUGAUGGGUAGGGGAGCUUCCCAUACGGGUUGAAGCAUGACCGUAAGGACAUGUGGACAGUAUGGGAGUGAGAAUGUUGGCAUGAGUAGCGAGAUGUGGGUGAGAAUCCCACAGGCCGUAAACCCAAGGUUUCCAGGGGAAGGUUCGUCCGCCCUGGGUUAGUCGGGACCUAAGCUGAGGCCGAAAGGCGUAGGUGAUGGACAACAGGUUGAUAUUCCUGUACUACCGAUAACCGUUUGAGAGAAGGGA
Molecule: ribosomal RNA, 779 nt
Filed under: Clostridioides difficile
Lineage: Bacteria; Bacillati; Bacillota; Clostridia; Peptostreptococcales; Peptostreptococcaceae
Description: partial 23S ribosomal RNA
Rfam family: Bacterial large subunit ribosomal RNA
Source: RNAcentral